This 516-nucleotide ribosomal RNA is filed under the name fungal endophyte. RNAcentral's name for it is "eukaryotic LSU rRNA". The stretch from base 185 to 338 matches the Rfam family "5.8S ribosomal RNA". Lineage: Eukaryota; Fungi. The record is from RNAcentral.
GGAUCAUUGCUGGAACGCGCCCCGGCGCACCCAGAAACCCUUUGUGAACUUAUACCUUAUUGUUGCCUCGGCGAAGGCCGGCCUCUCCUUAUGAGGCCCCCCGGAGACGGGGAGCAGCCCGCCGGCGGCCAACCAAACUCUUGUUUCUUAGUGAAUCUCUGAGUAAAAAACAUAAAUGAAUCAAAACUUUCAACAACGGAUCUCUUGGUUCUGGCAUCGAUGAAGAACGCAGCGAAAUGCGAUAAGUAAUGUGAAUUGCAGAAUUCAGUGAAUCAUCGAAUCUUUGAACGCACAUUGCGCCCUCUGGUAUUCCGGAGGGCAUGCCUGUUCGAGCGUCAUUUCAACCCUCAAGCCUGGCUUGGUGUUGGGGCACUGCUUCGAGAGAAGCAGGCCCUGAAAUCUAGUGGCGAGCUCGCUAGGACCCCGAGCGUAGUAGUUAUAUCUCGUUCUGGAAGGCCCUGGCGGUGCCCUGCCGUUAAACCCCCAACUUCUGAAAUUUUGACCUCGGAUCAGGUA